CGCGUAGGCGGCUUUAUAAGUCUGGAGUGAAAGUCCUCUUUUCAAGGGAGGAAUUGCUUUGGAAACUAUAGAGCUUGAGUGCAGGAGAGGUUAUCGGAAUUCCCGGUGUAGCGGUGAAAUGCGUAGAUAUCGGGAGGAACAUCGGUGGCGAAGGCGGGUAACUGGACUGCAACUGACGCUGAGACGCGAAAGCGUGGGUAGCAAACAG
RNAcentral lists this ribosomal RNA (208 nucleotides) under uncultured bacterium. RNAcentral's name for it is "partial 16S ribosomal RNA". It matches the Rfam family "Bacterial small subunit ribosomal RNA", at positions 568 to 775 of the family's 1533-position model. The record is from RNAcentral.